This 468-nucleotide ribosomal RNA is filed under the name uncultured bacterium. RNAcentral describes it as "partial 16S ribosomal RNA". It matches the Rfam family "Bacterial small subunit ribosomal RNA", at positions 28 to 508 of the family's 1533-position model. The record is from RNAcentral.
GAUGAACGCUGACAGAAUGCUUAACACAUGCAAGUCAACUUGAAUUUGGGUUUUUAACUUAGGUUUGGGUGGCGGACGGGUGAGUAACGCGUAAAGAACUUGCCUCACAGCUAGGGACAACAUUUGGAAACGAAUGCUAAUACCUAAUAUUAUGAUAAUAGGGCAUCCUAUAAUUAUGAAAGCUAUAAGCGCUGUGAGAGAGCUUUGCGUCCCAUUAGCUAGUUGGAGAGGUAACGGCUCACCAAGGCGAUGAUGGGUAGCCGGCCUGAGAGGGUGAUCGGCCACAAGGGGACUGAGACACGGCCCUUACUCCUACGGGAGGCAGCAGUGGGGAAUAUUGGACAAUGGACCGAGAGUCUGAUCCAGCAAUUCUGGGUGCACGAUGAAGUUUUUCGGAAUGUAAAGUGCUUUCAGUUGGGAAGAAACAAAUGACGGUACCAACAGAAGAAGUGACGGCUAAAUACGUGC